UACGGGGGGGGUAAGCGUUGUUCGGAAUUACUGGGCGUAAAGGGCUCGUAGGCGGCCAACUAAGUCGGACGUGAAAUCCCUCAGCUUAACUGGGGAACUGCGUGUGAUACUGGAUGGCUUGGAUUUGGGAGAGGGAUGCGGAAUUCCAGGUGUAGCGGUGAAAUGCGUAGAUAUCUGGAGGAACACCGGUGGCGAAGGCGGCAUCCUGGACCAAUAUUGACGCUGAGGAGCGAAAGCCAGGGGAGCAAACGGGG
This 254-nucleotide ribosomal RNA is filed under the name uncultured bacterium. RNAcentral's name for it is "partial 16S ribosomal RNA". It matches the Rfam family "Bacterial small subunit ribosomal RNA", at positions 524 to 777 of the family's 1533-position model. The record is from RNAcentral.